RNAcentral lists this long non-coding RNA (1201 nucleotides) under Homo sapiens (human). RNAcentral describes it as "HSALNT0302877". Lineage: Eukaryota; Metazoa; Chordata; Mammalia; Primates; Hominidae. The record is from RNAcentral.
GAUCUUGCCUGCCUUGGCCUCCCAAAGUGCUCAGAUUACAGGCCACCACACAUGAGCUGAAGCGGCCAGGCUCCUCCCCGCUGCACAAGGUGCGAAAUUCCUGUGGCUCCACCCCAGUCUCUCAGUGUGCAGCUUUCUCCAGAAUUGGGAAAUCCCUCAACCUGGCAAAAGUAUAGCUCAAAUGUGCCUCAGCUACCAUUUCCUGGUGGCAGUCCUCAACCAAUGGGUGCCGGGAAUUGGUGAACAACGCCCCAGCCCCCCAGCCUCCAGAGAAACAAUUCUAAGUGACAUGGAUGAUGAUAACCAGUCUAUGCCCACAGUGAUUAUCAGCUCAGCAAUGUACCCUUUACUGGCUUUUCUCCUUCCAUAUGUCACUAUUCCUGCUCCCUCACUCCUGCUUCCUGGAAUUACCUUCCCAGAAAAACUUCAUUCAGGUAAGCCAUAGUCCUAGGCUCUACUUGAGGGUAGGGGAAUCCAAACUAAAGUAAGUGUCUGUAGGACUUCAAAGUAAAGAUCCAAGUUAGACUUUCAGGAGAAGAGAUUUGGGGUAGAACUAUAAACUUACGUUUUCUUCCUAAUGGGAGCUGACAACACAGAAGUAGAUGAAAUUUUCCAGUAAUAGAAGAAAGGGGUCUAUGAGGAACCAUGAGGAACAACAACAUUUCUGGCACAGGCAGAAGAAGAGUCAAGGAGACAGAAACGACAAGAGAGGUAGAAGAACAAAGAAAGUUUGCAACAUGGAAAGCCAGGGAGGAGGAAGUUUCAAGAAAGAGUAGGUGAAUCUAUCCCAGCAGCAGCCAGGGUGGGCCUCUGUCCUCGAGCAGCACUGGAGCCAGACUCAGUUCCCGGAUCUUGCAGCCGAGGAGCCUCUCAAGCAUCCACAGCCCCCACCAGUGUGGGGACGGUGGAUCCUGUGGUGGACAUCCCCGGGGAUGUGACUGCCUGAUGGUGGCAGCAACAGCAGCAACAUCUGAGACCACGGAGUGGGGGUCUUUGGCAGAGACCCCAGGGCAGCUGAGGCAGCUGGGCUUCCUCCCAGCUCCAUCAGCCUUUGGGUCCAUGAGAAUCCCUUAUCCUUUACAGCCCUGCCCUGGCUCUGGGAAACUGGGGAUGGCCUCUGUGACCCCCCUUUGAGAGGUGAAGCCAGCUGGACUUCUGGGUCGGGUGGGGACUUGGAGAACUUUUCUGUCUUACAAGAGGA